Melanogaster broomeanus is the source of this 105-nucleotide non-coding RNA. Lineage: Eukaryota; Fungi; Basidiomycota; Agaricomycetes; Boletales; Melanogastraceae. The record is from the annotation of a GenBank genome assembly.
UCGGUUAUGGUGUAGCGGCUAACAUGGCUGUCUUUCAAGACUUUCGUAAUCACUGAUUGCGCAAUUUGAUCACAGCAGCUCCGGGUUCGACUCCCGGUAACCGAA